Calidris pugnax (ruff) is the source of this 2270-nucleotide long non-coding RNA. RefSeq lists it as uncharacterized. The record is from RefSeq and is a predicted model, not a curated record. The transcript is spliced from 2 exons. Lineage: Eukaryota; Metazoa; Chordata; Aves; Charadriiformes; Scolopacidae.
UUCUCUUCUCCCGAUUUUUUUUUUUUAUUAUUAUUAUUAUUUUUCCCCCUCCCCGAAGUCACUUUUGUUUUCUUGAGAUGAUAAGUUUAACAUGACUCUUGAUUUCUUGUGCCCAGCACGAAGGCCUUGUUUCUAAAAACUAGUUUGCUUGUGUUUUACUACCUUGUUAGUAUUCCACAUAAGAUUGUCUUGAAUGGGAAAACACUUAACUCUUUACCAAACCAAAGGUUGCUGUUUUAUUUCGAAGCAUCUCGUGUUCAUUCCAGUGAAGCAGAGGCUGCACUUUCUUUCUGGUGACACGAAGGUCAGUGAUGCCGAGCUGUUGGCGACAGUCUGCUCAGAGCUGUCCCUCUAUUAUUCUUUUACUCUCUUUCGGGCUUGUUUUUUUAAAACCCAGGCUGCUCUUGAUCUGUGCUUUGCCUCAGCCCUGCCGUUGGCGCAGGGUCUCUGAGCCGGGCUCCAUCGCGCUCCGUCGGCCCCGACGGGCACCCGAUCAAGGCGCUGGUGUUCUCUCAUAUGAAACUUACUUACCUUGCUAGGGAAAAAAAAAAUAUAACAAUACCUGCAGAAGACAAUUGGCUGGUAGAAGAUCCCCGAACACUUUGUCCCCUUAUUUCGAAGCCAAGCUUUACCUAAAGUAAGGGCAGGUGCCUGCGACUCGUGACUUUAAAAUUUCCCCUGGUUUUCAGUACUCGGAAAAAGUACAAGUCCAGCAGCCUCUCGGGCUCCUGGUGCUCCUGUACCGGGAACCUCAGCCACCGCAGAGAACAAGGGAAAAAGCAGAUGAGGAAAGGAAAGAAAAGGAAAAAAAAAAAAAAGAGAAAAAGCACAGUUGAGGGUAUUGGGUGGGGGCUGUGCCGUUGGGAGACUGCCAGCGGGCACCCCGGGGUGGCAGCUGAUUUCCACGGGGCUCUCAGCCGUUCUGGUCGUAGUUGGCUUCGUUUUGCAACACCGCAAUAACGGCAAAACGACAGGAAAGGAAAAACAGUACCUAAAGGGGUUAGCUCGAGAAAAGUAGCUUCCUUGUGUUGGUCUUUCUCAAUUUAUUUUUAAUAUAUAUAUAUAUAAAAUAUAUUUAUAUAUAUAUAAUUUGCUUGCCUGUAAAAUUUGCGUUCAUUAAUGUGUUGCUGAUGGAUCACUUGGGCCUGUACACACCAAUUAGCGUGACCACUUCCAUCUUAAAAACAGAAAUCUAAAAAUAUAUAUAUAUUAAGGACUGUGGGUUGUAUACAAACUAUUGCAUACACUUGUGCAAAUCUGUCUUGAUUUAAAGGAAAAGCAAAACCUGUAUAACAUUAUUACUACUUGAAUGCCUCUGUGACUGAUUUUUUUUUUUUUUCAUUUUAAAUAUAAACUUUUUUUGUGGAAAGUAUGCUUAAUGUUUUAUUAUUUCCCCCGCCCCAUUCCCCUUGUAAAUACGUUUUGUUCUGUGUGACUCGGUUCGGAAAUAGUUAACUGGUACUGUAAUUUGCAUUAAAUAAAAAGUAGGUUAGCCUGGAAAUGAAAUUUAAAAAAUACCAAGUGUGUGGUCUUUAUUUCAAAAACUUGCCCCUUUUCUUCCCUCCUCCUCUCUCCCUUCUCCACCCCUUGUCCCUCGCCCUCGCACCUCUUUCCACUCCGCAAGAAUAGGUGGACGUGAAUCUUUGUAAUAAUAAUGAAAAGAAAAAAGAAAAAAAAAAAAACCACAAGAAAUAAGCAUGUUUUCUUAAAUGAGCUGUGUUAUUCCAUGCUGUUUUUCGAGAGAUGCCAGCUUGUCUCUGAUACCGUUUGAUUUGAUGGAGAGAGGAACUCUGGGACAUAAAUACUUCAAAUUAAAACCAACUGAUCUUCCUUUACCGUCCACCUAUCGAUACGAACUUAAGAACCUGUGUAAAACUGCUGGCUUUGAAUCCUGCACUCAUGGUUGUUUGGGUUUUUUGGGUUUGGUUUUUUUUUUUGGUUUUUUUUCCAAUCAUUUGAUCCCAUUAGUAAUGUUAUUUGGUGGUGAUCUGUAAAGUUUGUCGAGACCACGUCCAGUGGACCGUUCCUCCAGCAAAUCAGCACGUAGCUAUCUCUGAGUUGGGUUUCCGGUACUGGAUAAUGUAUGUAUUAAACAUGACAUGUUCUAUUAGCGCAAAAGAAAAAAAAAAAAAAGAAAAAGAAAAAAAAAAAAGUAAUAAAAUCCUUUUUUGGGCUGGCUGACCUGGCCGAAUCCAUUCUGUCGCUAUCCUAAAGGCUAGAUGCGAGGUCAUGUGACUGCUGCUUCAAUAAAAACAAAUUUAUAUUGCAAA